This 2321-nucleotide long non-coding RNA is filed under the name Malus domestica (apple). RNAcentral's name for it is "long non-coding RNA (MDOM_LNC007395)". Lineage: Eukaryota; Viridiplantae; Streptophyta; Magnoliopsida; Rosales; Rosaceae. The record is from RNAcentral.
GACAAAAAUAUUAAGGUAUUUAGUAUGAGUUUGCGUUAUAUUCGUAUAAAUAGCAAAUAGUUUGAUUACUUAUUAAAGUGUUUCUAUGAGAUUGCGUUUCGAUCCUUUGUAAUGUCUUAUUUCUUUACUUUUUAAAUUAUUUAAUACACAUGAGCAUUUUUGUUUUUCUAUGGGCACCAAACUAUUUCUUAAUUAUUUUUUAUAAGAAUUUCCCAAUUAUUAUUUGUCCCUACAUAUAUUCAAAUUGAAAAAAAAAACUAGUUGUGUUCUCUUGAUCACAUAGUUGUCCUUCUCUUCGGCUGUAGUCCACAUAUAUUAUUUUAUAAUCCUGAUAUUUAUCAUUGUUAAUAAAAUUAAUUAGUGUGUAAAAGAUGUCUAUUAAUUAAUCUACAGAAGACAUCAUUUGAAUUUCGCCCCAGGCAAUUGAAAACUCAAGACUGGCCUUGAAGCUAGUUCAAAAUGUUUUACAAUUUUAAUAUAUUACGUUGUUAGAAUACUCAAAGUAGUUUAUUCAAAAUUCUAUGUUAUGUUUUUACAUUACUUAAAGUUAUUGUUUAUGUGAAAUCAUGUUUUAGGAUAUGGCCUUGAUUUAUAAAGUUUGUUAAAAUAACAAAUCAAAACGCAAUAACAUGUUAAAUCCAAAAAUGAGAUUAUCAAUAUCUUCAUGUCGACUCAAACAUGAAACGAUUAGUCAAUUCGAAUGCACACGUACUAAAUGUGGUAUGUGAUUAAACCGUUUAAUAUUCAUAAGUAUAAAAUGACAUGUAAAUAUGAUAUUUCAUCAAUAGUAUAGUUGAUGCAACUGAGCACUUCAGUAGUAAGGUUAUACUAAUCUUCCCAAGACCAAUAACAAUACAGUUUAUUUUUUAAUUGAACAUGACCAAUUAUAAAAUCAAAGAUGAAAUUAGAUGCAAGAUUAUUUGGGGCCACAUAUUAAAUAGGUUACCCAAUAGAAUUGUUAUAGUGACUUAUUGGUCCUUAAGUGUAAUGGAAGGUCUAAUUUUUUUUAUUCAACCAUUUUCACUAUGAGGCUAUAUUUGAUGAUAUCCUUCUAGAGACUUGGCUCUUCUUAUUUGAUAUGUCCUCGUCCAUAGGAAUUUGACAUGCUUUCAAGUAUUGAGGAACUAGAACUAUAUGAAUAAUUAAUUUUUUUUUUUAACGGUGUUGCUAAGUCUACACAGCCUAGCCUUUUACAUCAUCCUCUUUAAUCACAACACUAGCUAGUGCAUAUCAUUAGAAGUUUGAUGUUGCUUUAAGCAAUACUAGCAUCAGUCAUUCAUGUAGUUGUAAGUUGUAACGACUGUAAGACUGUAAGUUGUCAAUGCACUACAAAUAAGCUACAAUUAUUUACGGAUGUGUAAGCGACUAAUAUAUUAAAGACAAGUCUAUUGAAGACAAUUAUUAUAGAUGGACCAAGUGUUUCUUUAUGCCCUUGGCAUUGGAGCCAAUAUGGAAAUGAUAGUGGCAUAUGCCCUUAUCAUAUUUCAUAAAGUUUCCUUGUAAUUUCAUGGAUCUAAAGUUUGAAUUAUAGAGUAUAAUCAAGCAAGGACUCUCUAUGUUCUUCAAUCAAUUUGGAUAAGCUUUAAACUAAGGUGGUCACCAAUGAAAUGCAGUCAAAAACCAACAAAAGAUCACACUAUGUAGUCUUCCAUCUUAUAUGCAAAAGCUAUAAAUUAAAUUAAUGCCUUGAUAGGCAAAGCAUAUAGCUAGGGUUAGUGGUUCGUUUAGGUAAAUAGAGUGGAUCUCUAAGUUUUUUUUUUUUUAAGUGCGGCAAAGCAAUGAGGGAAGCUUGAUUUGGAAAAGUGCCAACAUAAAAAUAAGGGUAGUGAUAUCCACACAUUAAUUUUUAUUUCUCAAACAUUCUUUUUAAUUUUCAACAAUCAGAUUAAAUAAAUUGAAAAAAAAUCAAUGAUAAAAAAUUUAGUGCAAGACGUAAAAGUGAGUUUAUGGAUAGCACUUUCCAAAAACAAAGAUGCUGAUGGAUGCUUUGCAUGCCUUGCUUAAAAGGAGGGUUUCUCCUUCACUUUCUUUUGAGUUUUUUUUUCCUUUAAAAGCAAUUAGCUUUGGAUUUUUCGUUUUCAUGGCCUUAUUACUCUUAUUUAAGACCAGGUAAUGCCUAACUUUUUUCGAAGGGGAACCAUCAGAAAAGCCCCCACGUCUGAACCACCAUGAAAAAGUAGUCUAAUUUCUUGCAUAAAAAUGACCAAGUGGCCGAAAGGAAAACAUCACAAGUUUUUCGUUGGUUUAAUUGUAGCAAUAGUCCAUGAAUUUUAUUUAUAGUUCAAUGUCUAGGUGUGAGAAGCUAGCAAUAGCUACUUAGU